This 714-nucleotide ribosomal RNA is filed under the name uncultured bacterium. Its description in RNAcentral is "bacterial SSU rRNA". It matches the Rfam family "Bacterial small subunit ribosomal RNA", at positions 8 to 736 of the family's 1533-position model. The record is from RNAcentral.
AGAGUUUGAUCCUGGCUCAGGACGAACGCUGGCGGCGUGCUUAACACAUGNNAGUCGAGCGGUAAGGCUCCUUCGGGAGUACACGAGCGGCGAACGGGUGAGUAACACGUGAGCAAUCUGCCCUUCUCAUCGGAAUAACCAUUGGAAACGAUGGCUAAUGCCGAAUAUGACCUCGGAUCACAUGUUCUGAGGUGGAAAGCUCCGGCGGAGAAGGAUGAGCUCGCGGCCUAUCAGCUUGUUGGUGAGGUAAUGGCUCACCAAGGCAUUGACGGGUAGCCGGCCUGAGAGGGUGACCGGCCACACUGGGACUGAGACACGGCCCAGACUCCUACGGGAGGCAGCAGUGGGGAAUAUUGGACAAUGGGCGAAAGCCUGAUCCAGCAACGCCGCGUGAGGGGUGACGGCCUUCGGGUUGUAAACCUCUUUCAGCAGGGACGAAGCGAAAGUGACGGUACCUGCAGAAGAAGGACCGGCCAACUACGUGCCAGCAGCCGCGGUAAUACGUAGGGUCCGAGCGUUGUCCGGAAUUAUUGGGCGUAAAGGGCUCGUAGGCGGUUUGUCACGUCGGGAGUGAAAACUCAGGGGCUCAACCCUGAGCNUGCUUUCGAUACGGGCAGACUANAGGUAUUCAGGGGAGAACGGAAUUCCUGGUGUAGCGGUGGAAUGCGCAGAUAUCAGGAGGAACACCGGUGGCCAAGGCGGUUCUCUGGGAAU